GAGGCCGUCCGUGAGGUGCUCCUCUAGAUGCUCCCUUCCAGCGUUGGGCCUAGGUGUUCAACGCCGCCCUCACCAUCCCCUUCUUCCAUUGGCUCAUCGGCCCGUCAGAGGUUAUUGAGGUGGAGGUCAACGGUGUGAGGCGGAGAAGUGGAGUGCUUAUAAAGAAACACAGCUGCUGCCUGGAUUGGCCGCUGCCGCCUCCAGUCGCUUCCUCCUGGGCAUCCC
Molecule: long non-coding RNA, 225 nt
Organism: Triticum aestivum (bread wheat)
Lineage: Eukaryota; Viridiplantae; Streptophyta; Magnoliopsida; Poales; Poaceae
Exons: 3
Source: RefSeq, a predicted model, not a curated record